UACCGUGAGGGAAAGGUUAAAAGAACCCCGGAAGGGGAGUGAAAUAGAACCUGAAAUUGUAUGCGUACAAGGAGUCGGAGCCAAUUUAUUUGGUGACGGCGUGCUUUUUGUAGAACGAUCCAGCGAGUUAUUUGCUGUUGCAGCUUAAGGCAUCUGCCGGAGGCAUAGUGAAAGCGAGGCUGAAUAGGCCGACUAGUAGCAGUAAAUAGACCCGAAACCGGGUGACCUAACCAUGGGCAGGCUGAAGCGCAGGUAAAACUGCGUGGAGGGCCGAACCGUAGAGAAUUGCAAAACUCCCGGAUGACCUGUGGUUAGAGGUGAAAUGCCAAUCGAACUCGGAGAUAGCUGGUUCUCCUCGAAAUAGCUUUAGGGCUAGCGUUGUACGGUAGCUGGUAGGGGUAGAGCUCUGUUUCGGACUGGGGCCCGCAAGGGUACCCACCCUUGACAAACUACGAAUACUACCAGUGGAACUACAGCAGUUAGAACGGCGGGGCUAAGCUCGUCGCUCAAAAGGGAAACAGCCCAGACCAUCAUCUAAGGUCCCUAAAUAUAUGCUAAGUGGGAAACGAGGUGAGAUUUCUUAAACAACUAGGAUGUUGGCUUAGAAGCAGCCAUUCAUUUAAAGAGUGCGUAACAGCUCACUAGUCAAGAGAUCUUGCGCGGAAAAUGUAACGGGGCUCAAGCAUAUUACCGAAGCUGCGGAUGCCAGUGCUUCGCACUGGAUUUUUCAGAUAACUUUUUUCAUUUCUCAAUAAAUUUUCGUUUAACAUUUUUCAUUGCAGCCGCUUUGAUAAAUGUAAAAGCGAUGAACAAUUGUGAAAUGUGAAUUGUAAAAUGGAAAUUCCAAUGCGUAGCAUUGGUGUGGUAGAGGAGCGUUGAUAUCGCGCCGAAGCCAGAUCGUAAGGUCUGGUGGAGCGUUAUCAAGUGAGAAUGCUGGAAUGAGUAACCAUAAGGCAGGUGAGAAUCCUGCCCACCGAAAGAGCAAGGUUUCCUGGGCCACGGUAAUCGUCCCAGGGUUAGUCGGUCCUAAGCCGAGGCGCGUAGCGUAGGCGAUGGACAACGGGUUAAUAUUCCCGUACUGGUGUUGUAUUGUUUGGAGUGCGCGGCAUAUUAGCGCGGGCGGGUUCAUGGUUAUAUCCGUCUAAGUAGCAGAAACGGCUACGAAUGAAACGGCCUUCUGGGCUGGAUUUGCGUAAAAGUGCUGACUAGAAAAGCUUCCAAACGUGUGUGCAGCGCCAUCCGUACCACAAACCGACACAGGUGCUCAGGUCGAG
RNAcentral lists this ribosomal RNA (1274 nucleotides) under Bradyrhizobium sp. RNAcentral describes it as "partial 23S ribosomal RNA". It matches the Rfam family "Bacterial large subunit ribosomal RNA", at positions 499 to 1676 of the family's 2925-position model. The record is from RNAcentral. Lineage: Bacteria; Pseudomonadati; Pseudomonadota; Alphaproteobacteria; Hyphomicrobiales; Nitrobacteraceae.